This 408-nucleotide ribosomal RNA is filed under the name uncultured bacterium. RNAcentral's name for it is "bacterial SSU rRNA". It matches the Rfam family "Bacterial small subunit ribosomal RNA", at positions 201 to 696 of the family's 1533-position model. The record is from RNAcentral.
CCAAAGGUGAUUCCGUGGGGAGGGCUAUGUCCUUAGCUUGGGUGAGGUCGGCUCACAGGCCAAGGGGUACGACGUGAGAGUGUCCUCGCACUGGGAGAGACACUCCAGACACACGGGUGGGCAGUCGAAUCUUCGGAUGGGCGCGCCUGACCGCGACGCCGUGUGGGAAAGGCCUUGGUUGUAACACUGUCAGCGGAGGAUGUAGUGGUUCUCCCCUAUUCGACAUGCGCAGGAAGGACGCUAAGUUCGCCAGCAGGCGGUAAGGAACCGUCAACGUUAUGGAAUUACGGCUUAAAGUGCGUAGGGUCCGGUGUUGGGUGAAAGACCUGCCUAACCGGAAUGGCCCAAAACUCGGACUCGCAAGGCAGGUGAACGGAACUUAUGGUGGAGCGGUGAAAUGCGUUGAUA